This 267-nucleotide ribosomal RNA is filed under the name uncultured Alphaproteobacteria bacterium. RNAcentral's name for it is "partial 16S ribosomal RNA". It matches the Rfam family "Bacterial small subunit ribosomal RNA", at positions 1 to 296 of the family's 1533-position model. Lineage: Bacteria; Pseudomonadati; Pseudomonadota; Alphaproteobacteria. The record is from RNAcentral.
UAGUGAGUUGAUCCUGGCUCAGAACGAACGCUGGCGGCAGGCUUAACACAUGCAAGUCGAACGGCUGUAGCAAUACAGCAGUGGCAGACGGGUGAGUAACACGUGGGAACCUUCCUAGGGGUACGGAACAACUCAGGGAAACUUGAGCUAAUACCGUAUACGUCCGUGAGGAGAAAGAUUUAUCGCCAAAGGAUUGGCCCGCGUACUGAUUAGCUAGUUGGUGGGGGUCACGGCUUACCGAAGGCGACGACGGGUAGCUGGUCUGAG